AUUGAACGCUGGCGGCAUGCCUUACACAUGCAAGUCGAACGGCAGCGGGCCUUCGGGUGCCGGCGAGUGGCGAACGGGUGAGUAAUGCAUCGGAACGUGCCAUUGAGUGGGGGAUAACGUAGCGAAAGUUACGCUAAUACCGCAUAUUCUGUGAGCAGGAAAGCGAGGGGGACCGCAAGGCCUUGCGCUCUUUGAGCGGCCGAUGUCAGAUUAGCUAGUUGGUGAGGUAAAGGCUUACCAAGGCGACGAUCUGUAGCGGGUCUGAGAGGAUGAUCCGCCACACUGGAACUGAGACACGGUCCAGACUCCUACGGGAGGCAGCAGUGGGGAAUUUUGGACAAUGGGCGCAAGCCUGAUCCAGCCAUUCCGCGUGCAGGAUGAAGGCC
Molecule: ribosomal RNA, 386 nt
Filed under: uncultured bacterium
Lineage: Bacteria
Description: bacterial SSU rRNA
Rfam family: Bacterial small subunit ribosomal RNA
Source: RNAcentral